This 460-nucleotide ribosomal RNA is filed under the name Lactiplantibacillus plantarum. Its description in RNAcentral is "bacterial SSU rRNA". It matches the Rfam family "Bacterial small subunit ribosomal RNA", at positions 1039 to 1505 of the family's 1533-position model. Lineage: Bacteria; Bacillati; Bacillota; Bacilli; Lactobacillales; Lactobacillaceae. The record is from RNAcentral.
UGGUGCAUGGUUGUCGUCAGCUCGUGUCGUGAGAUGUUGGGUUAAGUCCCGCAACGAGCGCAACCCUUAUUAUCAGUUGCCAGCAUUAAGUUGGGCACUCUGGUGAGACUGCCGGUGACAAACCGGAGGAAGGUGGGGAUGACGUCAAAUCAUCAUGCCCCUUAUGACCUGGGCUACACACGUGCUACAAUGGAUGGUACAACGAGUUGCGAACUCGCGAGAGUAAGCUAAUCUCUUAAAGCCAUUCUCAGUUCGGAUUGUAGGCUGCAACUUGCGUACAGGAAAUCGGAAUCGGUAGUUAUCGGGGAUAAGCAUACCGCGGUGAAUAUGUUCCCGGGCCUUGUACACACCUACCCGUCACACCAUGAGAGUUUGUAACACCCAAAGUAGGGGGGGUAAUAGGAUAGGAACCAGCCGCCUAAGGGGGACAGAUACUAGGGAAGUCCACAGAUCACCGAAA